ACCUGUGUGGUAACAUUCGAGAGUUAUGUUAGAGGGCAGAGAACAAGAUUAAGGCCUAUAACCAAAUGCAGGUUCACAUAACUUUCAGGAAGUUAUUCAGCGGCUGGUAGGAUGACACAGUGGGUAAAACUCUUGCCCACAAGUCUUGUGACCCGUGUUCAGUCCCCAGGAUCCACAUGGCGCAAGGAUAGAACCAACUUCUACAAGUUGUCCUCUGACCCUCACACACAUUGUGUGGCACAUUCGCAAACACUGAGAAAACAACAACAGCAAUAAAAAAAAAGUCACAAAUGCAAACAGUUAUCCAAAAAGGCUGAACCAAUGCUCACUCAUUGACACUCUCUCCCUUGCUUAGAGGAGCCUAGAAAACCGCAUGAAACAAAAGUGUCACAGUUUUUCUUAGCGGAUUUAUUUCUUUUUUAUUUUAUGUACAUGAGCGAUUCGCCUGCACGUGUGAGUGCACCACCUGUGUGCAGUGCCUGCACAGCCAGAAGGCAGUGUUGGACUCCCUGGGACUGGAGUGACAAAUGGCUGUGAGCCAUUGUGUGGGUGCUGGGAACCAAUCCGGGGCCUCUACAAUGCUGAUACGGAUGUGUUUGCAGACUUUUACUCAUUUUUGAGUAUGGGUCUUCGCCUGCAAGUCUAUCUGAUCACAUGUGUACAGUGCCCACAGAGACCCAGGAGAGGGCAUCAGAGCCCCUAGAACUGGAGUUAUACACAGGUGGUAUACACAGGAGACUCCUUAGAAGGGAGCACCAGACCCCCAACUUCAUCACAACAAUAAAGCAAGUGCAUGGCCUCUUGGAUACAGGCCCCAGGAAUCAGAAAACCUCCCUUAAAACCUCUGGACAGUUCUGUGGUUCAGACUCUCAGCUGUUGCUUCCAGAAGGAAAUAGAAAGUCUUACUCAUUCUUGUUCUCUUGGCUUUGGCUUGGCAGGUGAGCAUGGGAGCAGAAGACGUGAACUGUUGUGUUAGGGUAAAGCUUCUGCACAAGCCCAUCCCCAGACCCAAAGAACAUCGGCCCCGCAGACAGUCACAACAGGUUUUCAUGUUCCUGAACUUUUCCACUCUUGUACUCCCAGGGAAAGAGCCAGUAAAUGGUCCAGAAAUGGAUGUGGAAUCAUUUUUAGCUUCGCAUGGGCUAUUUUGAAUUCAUUUCUUUCAGACAUCACAUUAAUUUUUAAAACUCAAUUUUAAACCAGAAAGUUAUCUCAUUUAUGUUUUAAAGUACUAUUUUAGUAGAACACGUUUUCUGUAUUUCUUUUUAUAUUCCU
Molecule: long non-coding RNA, 1275 nt
Organism: Meriones unguiculatus (Mongolian gerbil)
Lineage: Eukaryota; Metazoa; Chordata; Mammalia; Rodentia; Muridae
Exons: 3
Source: RefSeq, a predicted model, not a curated record